This 292-nucleotide ribosomal RNA is filed under the name uncultured bacterium. Its description in RNAcentral is "partial 16S ribosomal RNA". It matches the Rfam family "Bacterial small subunit ribosomal RNA", at positions 333 to 622 of the family's 1533-position model. The record is from RNAcentral.
GAAUGCCUACGGGACGCAGCAGUGAGGAAUAUUGGUCAAUGGACGGAAGUCUGAACCAGCCAUGCCGCGUGCAGGAAGACGGCUCUAUGAGUUGUAAACUGCUUUUGUACAAGGGUAAACCUGAAUACGUGUAUUCAGCUGAAAGUACUGUACGAAUAAGGAUCGGCUAACUCCGUGCCAGCAGCCGCGGUAAUACGGAGGAUCAAAGCGUUAUCCGGAUUUAUUGGGUUUAAAGGGUGCGUAGGCGGAUUGAUAAGUUAGAGGCGAAAUGUCCGAGCUCAACUCGGGAACU